This 698-nucleotide ribosomal RNA is filed under the name uncultured beta proteobacterium. RNAcentral's name for it is "bacterial SSU rRNA". It matches the Rfam family "Bacterial small subunit ribosomal RNA", at positions 47 to 742 of the family's 1533-position model. The record is from RNAcentral. Lineage: Bacteria; Pseudomonadati; Pseudomonadota; Betaproteobacteria.
CCUUACACAUGCAAGUCGAACGGCAGCACGGACUUCGGUCUGGUGGCGAGUGGCGAACGGGUGAGUAAUGUAUCGGAACGUGCCUAGUAGCGGGGGAUAACUACGCGAAAGCGUAGCUAAUACCGCAUACGCCCUACGGGGGAAAGCAGGGGAUCGCAAGACCUUGCACUAUUAGAGCGGCCGAUAUCGGAUUAGCUAGUUGGUGAGGUAACGGCUCACCAAGGCGACGAUCCGUAGCUGGUUUGAGAGGACGACCAGCCACACUGGGACUGAGACACGGCCCAGACUCCUACGGGAGGCAGCAGUGGGGAAUUUUGGACAAUGGGGGAAACCCUGAUCCAGCCAUCCCGCGUGUGCGAUGAAGGCCUUCGGGUUGUAAAGCACUUUUGGCAGGAAAGAAACGUCAUGGGCUAAUACCCCGUGAAACUGACGGUACCUGCAGAAUAAGCACCGGCUAACUACGUGCCAGCAGCCGCGGUAAUACGUAGGGUGCAAGCGUUAAUCGGAAUUACUGGGCGUAAAGCGUGCGCAGGCGGUUCGGAAAGAAAGACGUGAAAUCCCAGAGCUCAACUUUGGAACUGCAUUUUUAACUACCGGGCUAGAGUGUGUCAGAGGGAGGUGGAAUUCCGCGUGUAGCAGUGAAAUGCGUAGAUAUGCGGAGGACACCGAUGGCGAAGCAGCCUCCUGGGAUAACACUG